GGCCUACGGGAGGCAGCAGUGGGGGAUAUUGCACAAUGGGGGAAACCCUGAUGCAGCGACGCCGCGUGGGUGAAGAAGCGCCUCGGCGCGUAAAGCCCUGUCAGCAGGGAAGAAAAUGACGGUACCUGAAGAAGAAGCCCCGGCUAACUACGUGCCAGCAGCCGCGGUAAUACGUAGGGGGCAAGCGUUAUCCGGAUUUACUGGGUGUAAAGGGAGCGUAGACGGCUAUGCAAGUCUGGAGUGAAAGGCGGGGGCCCAACCCCCGGACUGCUCUGGAAACUGUAGAGCUAGAGUGCAGGAGAGGG
This 305-nucleotide ribosomal RNA is filed under the name uncultured bacterium. Its description in RNAcentral is "bacterial SSU rRNA". It matches the Rfam family "Bacterial small subunit ribosomal RNA", at positions 335 to 658 of the family's 1533-position model. The record is from RNAcentral.